CUGACAUUCGCCCCAUUUUUAGGUGAACAAAAAUACAUAAAUAAAUUACUAAAUAGGCUUAUUACAGAGUCAUUCUGCUUUUUCAUAUACCUACAGCGAAAAUGAAUCAUAUUUUAAUGCAGGAAAACCAGGUGACAACAUAUUUGAAUUCUGUAUAAGAUAAUGAGCUGUAUUUUCAUUUGAGAUGUGUCAAAAUAAAAUACCACUGGGAGAAAGUGUGUCUUACUGAAUCCUUUAUAAUAGGCAACAUAACCAGCAAUGUGUGAAACCAGAGAAAUUCAAAACCGCAUACUAAGAAUCACCUUUAAAAGGUGGCGAGAAUCUUUUAAAUUCUUUCCAGCUCUUCUUUUUGGGAUAGAUCACAGAGAGGAGAACCCUCACAAAGAUUUUGGGGUCCAUUAUGGGAACAAUUCUUCCACGGCGGAUAUUGAUAUUUUUGUUAAUGAAAUGCCCACCUGAUGGUACAAACCUUGAGCUGAGCUGUCUGAGAUUUGGACUGUGCACAAACAGACAGACCUUGAAGCUCGCUCUAAUAAAACCAACAGUUUUCUUUUUUCUCUUUUUAGUUAUUUCAAUCACUGCUGAGUCUGCGUGGCAAAAAAAAAAGAAAAAAAAAGACAAAAAGGGUUAUUUUUUGCUCAUGAACAUAUAAAUGAAUGAAAGACGAACAUGCCUCACUGCUCUUCCCAAGAUGAGCCUCAAGACAAGAACAGCGUUUUCUGACCAAGCAAUUCAAUCAUUUAUAUGCCCUUUCCUUCCAAUAAUGUGCUCCCAGGGAAAGUAUCCACCAUACCUGCAGUGCUCUGGCCAAAUUCCAGUUCGGGUAAUUAUGUUCUGCCUGUCUAAACUCUGCCUGGAGUUUCAUUUGGAGGAAGCAUUGUUUGCUCCCUGCUCAUUGUUGUGGGCACACGGAUCAGGUGCUGGGCUCAUCUCUGCAGGGGCUGGCUGGGCUCCAGCCCUGGAUGAAGCGAGAUGCAAGAGCAGAGCAGCUUGUGCUAAAUUUGCAAAGCGUCAGGAGAUCUUUGGAGUGAGAGGUGCUGUGUUAAUGGGAGGUCACCGGUGCUAUCUGGGGUGCAAAUGCAUCCCUGCUCAGAAGCUUUAUGGGGAAAAAAACCCAACCAACCAACCAACCAACAACAACAACAACAACAAAAAAAAACAAAAAAAAAACAAAAAAAAAAAACAGAAAAAGCUCUCUUGA
RNAcentral lists this long non-coding RNA (1201 nucleotides) under Chrysolophus pictus (golden pheasant). Its description in RNAcentral is "lncRNA (ENSCPIG00010014845.1)". Lineage: Eukaryota; Metazoa; Chordata; Aves; Galliformes; Phasianidae. The record is from RNAcentral.